This 795-nucleotide ribosomal RNA is filed under the name uncultured bacterium. RNAcentral describes it as "bacterial SSU rRNA". It matches the Rfam family "Bacterial small subunit ribosomal RNA", at positions 8 to 796 of the family's 1533-position model. The record is from RNAcentral.
AGAGUUUGAUCAUGGCUCAGGAUGAACGCUAGCGGCAGGCUUAAUACAUGCAAGUCGAGGGGCAGCACAGAUAGCAAUAUUGGGUGGCGACCGGCAAACGGGUGCGUAACACGUACACAACUUUCCGUUAAGUGGGGAAUAGCCUAAAGAAAUUUGGAUUAAUACCCCGUAACAUAUAGAGAUGGCAUCAUUUUUAUAUUAUAGGCGCAAGCCGCUUGAUGAUGGGUGUGCGGCUGAUUAGGUAGUUGGCGGGGUAACGGCCCACCAAGCCUUCGAUCAGUAGCUGAUGUGAGAGCAUGAUCAGCCACACGGGCACUGAGACACGGGCCCGACUCCUACGGGAGGCAGCAGUAAGGAAUAUUGGUCAAUGGGCGAAAGCCUGAACCAGCCAUGCCGCGUGGAGGAUGAAGGUCCUCUGGAUUGUAAACUUCUUUUAUUUGGGACGAAAAAAGGGAAUUCUUUCUCACUUGACGGUACCAGAUGAAUAAGCACCGGCUAACUCCGUGCCAGCAGCCGCGGUAAUACGGAGGGUGCAAGCGUUAUCCGGAUUCACUGGGUUUAAAGGGUGCGUAGGCGGGCAGGUAAGUCAGUGGUGAAAUCUUUGGGCUUAACCCGAAAACUGCCAUUGAUACUAUCUGUCUUGAAUAUUGUGGAGGUUUGCGGAAUAUGUCAUGUAGCGGUGAAAUGCUUAGAUAUGACAUAGAACACCUAUUGCGAAGGCAGCAAACUACGCAUAUAUUGACGCUGAGGCACGAAAGCGUGGGGAUCAAACAGGAUUAGAUACCCUAGUAGUCC